Non-coding RNA from Myodes glareolus (Bank vole), 3628 nucleotides. Lineage: Eukaryota; Metazoa; Chordata; Mammalia; Rodentia; Cricetidae. The record is from RefSeq and is a predicted model, not a curated record.
UUUUUAUUGAUAAGUAAUAUUCCACUGCAUGAGAAUGUUUAUUCAUUUGUUGAUGGCUUAAUUUACUUUUUAUUGACAAAUAGUAUUCCACUGCAUGAGGAUGUUUAAUCAUUUGUUGAUGGCUUAAUUACUUUUCAGUGAAAGUUAUUAUGUAUAAAGCUGCUGAGAGCAUUGGUCAAGAAGAUUUUGUGUAGACAAAGGCUGAUUUCAUAAAAUGUUUUCCUCAGUUUAAAGCGUUUUUUAGCAUUGGUAGGCUAUUGUUUACAACUUCAUUUUCGUUACAUCCUCAGCAGCAAACAUUGGUGGUCUGACGUGGUCGAUGUGAAAUGGAUCUCAUGUGGCCUCAAUUUGCAUCUUACUCAGUGAAGUUGGACAUCUUUUUUUGGUGCAAAAAGCCGUUAUAUUUAAUGAUGUUCUUUGCUAAACGAAUUCUAUAUUUACAUGUGGCUCAAGUGAUCAGUCCUGCUUUUCCUUUUGGUUUCGGUCUGCUGUAAGGAGUUUGUCCUUCCACCACUACCUCUGCUUCAAAGCCUACACUUGACCUCUAGUACCUGCUUGGCCCCGUUUGGAUUGCUAGACAUUGGUUAAAGGUGUGUUGCAUCGUUAGCCCUCUUUAAAAAUUAGACUGGGUAUCCUUUUUUCUGGUUUGUGAGAACCUUUUUCUUUAGUACUCUAGAAAUGUCUCCUACAGUAAUGGUGUUAGAAAUACUGCUACCAACUUGUGUCUUAUAUUUUCAUUGUUUAGUAUAUUACUUGUAAUUUAUUUUUGAGACAGGGUUUCAAUAGGUAUCCCUAGUUGGACUUGUGCUCUAUAAGUAGACCAGGCUAGCCUCAAAUUCAUAGAGCUGCAUCUGCCACUGCCUCCUGAGAACUAGAGUAAAGGUGUGUAUUACCAGGUCUGACUUUAAUUUUAUGUUUGUAAUGAGCAUGGAAACAGAUUCCUCUGAAUGGAUAAAUAAAGAGGGAAAUCUGUAGUGUAGAUAGAGCAGGAAAUUUAUAGAAUGAGUGCAACUUGGUGUAGUGUAAAAGCAUUUCUUCUUGUGUGUGGUGUGGAGAAUUACUAAGGUGAACUAUUAAGAGAACAUUUUGCCCACUUGAAGGCACCCAGCAACCUUGGUAACAAAAGUAAUCUUGCCCACCCUUCUGUGGCCAGUCGAUACUGAUAACCUAGGACAUCUGGUUAUCAGAAGGAUCAAACGAGAGGCAGUUUCAAACUGGCAUAAAAAGAGAGGGCAGAAGCAGGGCAGUUAUUUCACUUCUUACUAUGGCCUGGGCACUGAGCCUCGUAGAGACAGAUCCUCAAGCCUGCCUCCCGAAAGCAGAAACAUUUAAUGCUUUGCCAUCCUGAGAGCAGAGCUUCGCCUCCUGACUCGAGAGCCGACAGAACGCUUUGCCAUCUCGAGAGCAGAGAACUAAAGCCUUGUCUCCUGAGACUCUGUCACCCGAAAGCAGAGUUCAAGGCCCUGCAUUCCGAGAUAGACUAGCACCAGACCACAGACUGCAGUCAAGAAUUGAUCCAGCACCUGAUACCAGCCUGAGAGCAGGACAUCGAACGCCUUAUCUCCCAAAUGCAGACUAACAGGGUCAAGAGUUGAGCCACGCUGUCAAGCCCCCAGUGCUGUCAGGCAUCCAGCCUAAGGAAAUCCAAAAAGUCCUUUUUAAAGCUGAAGAAUACCAGUUUGACCGAAUGUGAAGCAGGCUGGCAUGUGUGUGGACAGAAGGUCCUGGAGGAUCAACUAGAGCCAGAGGUGAACUUGCCAGUGUUAGAGCAGCAGAUUUAAACAAAAAGCCAAAGGAGCAAGUCAAGUAAGCAUCAGUCCUCCGUGGCCUCUGCAACAGUUCUUGCCACCAGGUUCCUGCCCUGUGUGAGUUCCUCUUCUGACUUCCGUCAGUGAUCUAGUGUGGUGUGGAACUCUGUAAGAUGAAAUAAACCCUUUCCUUCCGAAGUUGCUUUUGGUCAAUGUUUUUGCACAGCAAAAUCUUGACAGUAACAGUCAAGGUUUCAAUUACAUGCUGAAAUAGAGUAAGAGACUUUGAUGGCUGUUCUUGAUUGUCAGCCUGACUAUCUGGAAUCAACUACAACCCAGAAAUGGGGGCACACCUGUGAUCCAGAUUUUGAGGCAGGAUGACACACACCUUUAAUUCAGAUUCUGAGGUGGGAAGGCACAUCUUUAAUCUGGGCCACACCUUCUGCUGGAAGCCUAAGACAUGGAAGAAGUAUGGUUUGUUCCUUCUCCCUUUGCUUGAUUGCCCUCGCCUUAAGAGCAUAUCCAUUCCUUCACUGGCACUGGAGCCUACUCGGGAUUCCAGCAUACAGAAGACCAGCUGAGACACCCAGCCUCAGGGGUGAGUGUGUGUGUGUAUUCAUUCCAUAAAUUCUGUGACUCUAGGGAACCUUGACUAAUACAAAGACGAAAUCAAAAAAGGGACUCCUUUGCCUCUUUCCACCCUCCUGAAACAGUGCACCAAGGUCGGGCACAUUAACAGGUCUUCACCACUCAGGGAACCCUGAAAAGACUUCUGCAAUGCAGUAGGGACAGAGUAUAAAAGGUCCCCCAGUGUAUAUACAUUAAAAACUUGAUCCCCAAUGAUUGCUUAGCAGUGAAGGCUCUGACCUCAUGAAUGGACGAACUAUUUCUUUGAUGACAUCAUCCAUGGAUGGAAUACCGGAAGGUGGAUCUUCCUCUACAGGCAUGCCUCUGGAACUGUUUUUAGCCCUGGCCCUUCCACAUCAGGCAUCCUCUGCUUCCCAACUGCUUCACUGCAUUUUGAUCCUAAUCCUCAAGUUCUGCUUCAUUACCACAGAAAAAACAGCCAAGUGAGCUCAGAGAGAAACUGAGACAAAACAGCAAACCUGCUAUCUUUUUUACUUGAAAGACAUGUUGUCAUAUACUACAGAAGAGAGAAGAGACUAGGAGUGGAGAAAAUGCCCAGUCACAAAGUGUGAAGCCCUCUCCAGCGGGCUUCUGUUGAGCACCAUGCAGGCCUCUCCCAAAGGCCUCCGAGACUACCCCAAACCCCAGUCAUUAGAGAAGAAUUCAGGGAAAUGAACCCAGAAAAUAAAAAUGCUCAUCCUGGUACUUGUUUUGGUGAUUAGCCUCUGUCAAGACUAAUCUUCCGUGGGGGAUUCCAAGUCCAUUAUAGUGAGCAUGAAUGAAACAAAGUGAAAAUAAAUACUGUCCACCUGGGCAAACUCAAAGGUCAAAUAUACAUUAUUACUAACUUUCUAAAAGCAUACAAAAAUUAGGAUAACCAAGAGGUGAAAAGAAUAUGAUUAAUUAAAUAAUACUCCCAUUAUGGCCAUCAUUACAGAGAGGGAAACACCAACAAAAACUGUUAUAGCAAUUGGCAGACUUUAAUAUUUAAGAAAAAUUAAGUUCAUGUACACAUUAAAAAUAUAGGAAAUUUCAUGCAGACAUGAAAUUUCCAAUUCAACUUUCUGGCAACAUUUAGAAUGUGAAUUACAUAUAAAUACCAUAUACUUUACAGUUCUCAAACUUGAUCAUUUCAUACUGUGAUUUCUGCAGCUUCCCUGUAUAUUUUAUAUGCCCUAUCUUGCUCACUGAUCAGAACCUAAAUUUGCAUCACAUCAAAAAGUCAAAAUUUAAAAACAGCAAGCACAUGAUCA